UACGUAGGAUGCAAGCGUUGUCCGGAAUUAUUGGGCGUAAAGAGCGCGCAGGCGGUAUGACAAGUCAGAUGUGAAAGAGGCCGGCUUAACCGGCAAGGGUCAUUUGAACUGAUCAACUAGAGUGCAGCAGAGGAUAGUGGAAUUCCCGGUGUAGUGGUGAAAUGCGUGAGAUAGUCGGGAGGAACACCAGUGGCGAAGGCGACUAUCUGGGCUGCAACUGACGCUGAGGCGCGAAGGCUAGGGUAGCAAACAGG
Molecule: ribosomal RNA, 254 nt
Filed under: uncultured bacterium
Lineage: Bacteria
Description: partial 16S ribosomal RNA
Rfam family: Bacterial small subunit ribosomal RNA
Source: RNAcentral